Triticum dicoccoides is the source of this 1720-nucleotide long non-coding RNA. RefSeq lists it as uncharacterized. The record is from RefSeq and is a predicted model, not a curated record. The transcript is spliced from 2 exons. Lineage: Eukaryota; Viridiplantae; Streptophyta; Magnoliopsida; Poales; Poaceae.
UGCCAGCGGCCGGCCCCUCCCCCAGCACGCCGCCGACUGCCCCAUCUACCCUAGCGCGCCACCGCCGGCCCCCUCCCCUAGCACGUCGUCGAGCAGCCCCUGGAUGGCGCAACUCCGGCUGCACCAUCGUGGUGGAGGCGCGGCGCCGUCUUUGAGAUGCUCCAUCAGCUGCUCCUCCUCCUCCUGGUAUGCACAAGCUCCAAUUCGUCGAGAUGUUCCGUGGAGGUACUCCAUUUUAUGUUUUCAAUUCAUCUUAUGAAAAAGCAGAACAAACUAUGUGUCAUUUUUGUCAUUCACGCAAGUUCAGGCAUACCUUCUGCACAAGUUCAAAAUCUGAAGAAACAAAUCUCAAACCAAGUUCAGAAACUGUUUCUUUCAUAAAUUAGUUGUUUUGGUUAAUUCUGUAGUACAUGUGUGUACUGUGAUUGUAAUUGUGGCUUGGAGUUGAGAAAAAUAUAACAAAAAGGUACAUAAAAGAACCCAAAAACAUUCGGUAGUUUCUGGAAGCCCAAAGUUCAGUUCAACAUGUUUUCUAUCAUCAGCUCGUUAAGAACCCCAGAAACGGUUCAAUGUGUGUGUUAAAAAAAAUAGCUGGCUAUAUAUAGAAAAAAUUAGUAGCUAGGCAAAAAGAAGUUUGUAUCAGUUCAGACUUGCCUGCACGGAAGGAUAGAGGCCCUUGUCCCGUACGUUCAGGUUUGUAUCAAUGCUCCAGCCAACUCCAUUAUCUACUCAGUAAAUGCUCCACUGCUAAAUCCACUUGAAGUUUUGUCAGGUUUGGUGACUCCUCUCCCUUUCCCUUUUCAUGUAAUGCAUUUAGGCCCACCAGACUCACAUGACGACGCUGGCCGUCCACAGCCACCACCACAGGCCGUUCACAGCCACCACUCAUGGCCGUCACAAAAAACACUCCAAAGUGCAGACCAUACAUGAGGACAAGGGCGAGGAGGAGGCAGCAGGAAAGAGCUAAGCGAUCUUCAGUUCAUGUUUGCUGCGAUUUUCAGUCCAGCCGGCUUACUAUUUCAGCACCAGGGUAACUAAAAAGCUCUGCGUCUGACAGAAUAUCUCUUGUUAUAACUUUUAAAUUUGUCCAGAUGCGAGGAACAAAAUCUCCAGCCAACUUUUUGCUUUGCUGAUAUAAAUCAAGCUCUGUUUUGUUGUUGAGCAACAAAAUGUUAGCCGCAGGAGUUAAAAAAUCAGCUGCUUUGAACUAAAUCAAAAUGUGUCACGCAAGUUCAGGUAUACCUGCUGCAGGAGUUCAAAAAUGUGAAGAAACGAAGCUCAACCCAAGUUUAAAAACUGUUUCCUUAAUAAAUUAGUUGUUUUUGGUUAAUUUGUUGUUAUGGACAGUAAAAAAUACACACUAUUGUGUAGUGCAUGUGUGUAUUGUAAUUGUAAUUGUGGUUUGGAGUUCAGGAAAAGAUAACAAAAAGGUUCAUAGAAGAACCCAAAACAUUUGGUAGUUAUGUAAGCCCAAAGUUGAGUUCAACGUGUUUUCUAUCAUCAGCUCAUUAAGAACCCCAACGGUUCAAUGUGUGUGUUCAAAAAAAUAGUGUGGCUAUAUAUUAAAAAAUUAGUAGCUCGGCAAAAAAGAAGUUUAACCGAUUCAGUGCAAGUUUUACUUCUGAAAACUGACAUUGUUCAUCAUGUACUGAUCCAUUUCAACUGUGGAUGUGUUUAAAAAAACUGAUGUUCGGCAUGUACUUAAAAUGCCAUUAAAAAA